CCCGCCGCGACCACUGCCCCACCACCAGCCCGCGGCCGCCGCGCCUCCACCAGCCGGCGACGCGCCGCCCCCACCAUCCAUCGCGGCUGUCGCCCUACCUCCCGCCGCGGCCACCGACCGACCACCAACCCGCGGCCGCCGCGCCUCCAUCAGUUGGCAACGCGCCAACCCCACCUUUCAUCGCGGCUGCCGCCCUACCUCCCGUCGUGGCUGCCGCCCCACCACCACUCCACGGCCACCGGCCCACCACCAGCCCGUGGCCGCCGCGCCCACCUUCCAUCGCCGCCGCCGCUCCACCUCCCAUCAUGGCCGCCAUCCACCAAGACAACCGGCCGACCGUUCACGGAUCAGGCGGGUACUCGCACGUUGAGGUGGUGUUGCUCUGGCGAGCUCCUCCAUUCCCGACCACGACACGUCCAUGGCGGCCUCCUCCAUUCCGUUUCCUCCUCCAAUAAGUUCAAUCAUUCAGGUAUUACCAGUGCAAGAUGACCUGAAGCACCGACAAGUCGUGCCAUUUGCGAGGUGUCAGUUCAGGCCGGCAGGGAUGCACAGUCCAGGAGUGGCACGUAGAUGCGCGCAAUAGUGAUAGUAGCUACCACCUCGCGGGCAUACACGACGAGCUGCACACGCCGCCAUCUACGUGCACGUGUGGAUGCGACAGUGGCAUGUUGCCGGGUGCUUGUCCAGCAGCAAGACACAACUGUUGUGGCCAUGGGCGGGCUAUCAGCAGUAUGCAACGCAAGGCUCAACUAGUUCCUUCUUCCUGUUUCAUAGUAGUGUGCACGCUAUAUGUUUGUCAAAAUGUCUCAAUGAGUUACAGUACUAGUUCUUGCGUGGUUGUGCUCUAUUCUAGCUGCCCUUGCUUGCUACUUGCUACAACUCAAAUUAGUUUCUUCCCUGUAUUAUUAGAUGGAGAGAGAAAAAAGUUUGAUCUUCCUACCAUCUAUUCCCAUUGAGAGGAAAAAAUAAGCUGACACUUUCUUCCCUGUAUGUAUGCAUGGAAUGGAUAGUAAAUAUUGUUUUUCGGUGAGUGUAAAGAACAAACUAUUUUAGGAUGAUGCAUUUUGUUGGUUUAGAGCGUAGUAAAAGUGUCAUGGCCAGCGCUUUAGUGGCAGAAAAGUGGAACCUGCAGGAGAUGCCACGAGGGGCGAGGACGUCCAACUCGGCGAGAUUAACGUCAUCGUCGACCCCAUGUUCGCUGGCAAGACCACCGUGGUUCUCCGCCGGCACCGUCCAUGGCUGGAGCUUGCCGGUGAUGGCGGAUGUGGAGCUUCACCACCAUUCGCAGCUCCAAACCGUGAUCCAGUUCUUCGUGAGGCUCUCGAGCUUGAAUUUUUUCCGAUUCAUCUAAUGUAAGCUAUUCGGUACAUCUAAUUCCCAAUCGUAAGUACGAUUCCCUUUAUGUUUUCCAUUUUCUUCCUAUAACACAAAACAUGCACUGUAGGAUGAAAUGAGAAGAUAUACUAAAAGAAAAUGUGUGGUGGCGCUGUCCAUGUUUUCAAUUUAAACCACUAGCUUUUUUAUACACAAAAAAAUCUGCAAAUAUGUUUGCUACUGUGUGUUUCUAAUUGAACCAUGCAAAUUUCAUUUGAUGGCAUUCGGCAAAAUUGCUACUGUGUGUUUCUAAUUGAACCACUAGCUUUUUUUUCAUUUGAUGGACAUUCAAGGCAGCAAGCACACACAUGUUCUAGUCAGUCUGUGUGUGUGUGUGUUCUCAUUAGUCACUCGCCUCUCAGUCCGUCUCUCGAAAGAUACCUAGUGUCGCCUUGUGUAUUUUCAUCAGUUCAUGUGUGUUUGUUCUUGGCACACAUUAGCCUGGUACCUGGAUUAGAAAAAAAUCUCCACAUCAUGUCUGCCUGAAUUAUUCUAGUGUGGUCUCCCAAUCCAAGCAUACUUCAGUUCAAGAAAAAUCUCCAGACAAGUUCAGAGUAGUUCGCAUUAAAGGUUUGAUCCUUUUUUAUUCGUUUGUUUUUGUUCAGAAAAGCUCCAUGGCGUUUCUUGGGCAGCAGCAUGCCCCUACAAAAAACUGUAAGUUUGAAUUAGGAAAGAUAAGUUCAGCCAAAAUUAAAACUAUUAAAAAACAUAAUGAUUGUAUGUUUUUUUCAUAUCGAACCGCGUACGUCACACCAGAUCGAUGCCUUCAUCUACAGCAAGUCGAUGUAGUACUACAUGCGAAGUACAAAAAUUACUACUAGUGAGAGUUCAUUUAAAUCCUGGUCAGUUCAUCUCCUCAAAACAUAUUUACUUCUGCUCUGCUCUGAUCUUUCUCCUGAAUUGUUGAUGAUGCAUCCUCUCUCUCAUGAUGUGAUGUUGUUGCUCUCUCGUAGCUAAAACAUGGUACCAAAAACAUCCUAUAGCUGACCACAAUCUGUAAUUCUGAAACUACAUGUAUUACUACUGGGAAGGUUCAAAAAUCAGAACUCAACAAGUUCAACAUGGUGCAUGCCCCAGUUGAGACCAUUGAGAGGGCGCACCGCGGCGUCAUGGACUACAUCAAGCACGCGCUCACCCUCUUCACCGACUUGGCCGCCGUCCUGAUCAUCAUGCUCAAGAACGCAGGCGACAAUUCCGAGGACAAGAAGAGGAGGAGGUCCUGAGAGUGUCAUAUGUGCAUCGUUUUUUCUUGUUUCAAAAGUAGAAGGGGAAGAUGUAGAGGGUGGACUACUCAGGGCGAUUGCUGCUGAUGUUGUGUUGUGUUAGGUCAGCAAGUAGUGCUAAAAUUAUUUUGCAGGAAGAGAAGGCAGCGAGAAGAUGUUCCAGGUGACACGCCCUUCCAUCAAAACAAAAUGUUCAAACAUAGCAAGAAGUCAACAGAAAAAGAUGUGGGGCUGCUAGACUUUUUCAUAAGUUGUACGUAGCAAAUCUGUAGUUAUGGCAUAAAAAGCUGAAAUAUUGUAUAUUGUAUAAUUCCAUAAGCUGUACGUAGCAAAUCUGUCCAUGUGGAUCAGUACAACUUACGUACAACCUUAAAUUCACAAAUCUUAUAGUCAUCUUUGUAGUACUCUUCGUAACACUUUGUAAAGCAAG
Molecule: long non-coding RNA, 3027 nt
Organism: Triticum aestivum (bread wheat)
Lineage: Eukaryota; Viridiplantae; Streptophyta; Magnoliopsida; Poales; Poaceae
Exons: 3
Source: RefSeq, a predicted model, not a curated record